CGUGCUUAACACAUGCAAGUCGAGGGGGGGUAGGGGCAACUCUACUCCACCGGCGAACGGGUGCGUAACACGUGAGCGACCUACCCUGGUGUGGGGGAUAGCCGGCCCAACGGCCGGGUAAUACCGCAUACGCUCGUUGAGGGGCAUCCCUUGGCGAGCAAAGCCUUCGGGCGCAUUGGGAGGGGCUCGCGGCCUAUCAGCUAGUUGGCGGGGUAACGGCCCACCAAGGCGGCGACGGGUAGCUGGUCUGAGAGGAUGGCCAGCCACAUUGGGACUGAGAGACGGCCCAGACUCCUACGGGAGGCAGCAGUGGGGAAUCUUGCGCAAUGGGCGAAAGCCUGACGCAGCGACGCCGCGUGCGGGAGGACGGCCUUCGGGUCGUAAACCGCUGUUGCCCGGGACGAAUGGCUCUUUAGAGAGACGUGACGGUACCGGGUGAGGAAGCACCGGCUAACUCCGUGCCAGCAGCCGCGGUAAUACGGAGGGUGCAAGCGUUAUCCGGAAUCAUUGGGUUUAAAGGGUCCGCAGGCGGAUUUAUAAGUCAGUGGUGAAAGCCUACAGCUUAACUGUAGAACUGCCAUUGAUACUGUAAGUCUUGAAUUUGGUCGAAGUGGGCGGAAUAUGACAUGUAGCGGUGAAAUGCAUAGAUAUGUCAUAGAACACCGAUAGCGAAGGCAGCUCACUAGGCCAACAUUGACGCUCAUGGACGAAAGCG
RNAcentral lists this ribosomal RNA (715 nucleotides) under uncultured soil bacterium. RNAcentral's name for it is "bacterial SSU rRNA". It matches the Rfam family "Bacterial small subunit ribosomal RNA", at positions 43 to 761 of the family's 1533-position model. The record is from RNAcentral.